This 240-nucleotide ribosomal RNA is filed under the name bacterium AV-V-7. RNAcentral describes it as "partial 16S ribosomal RNA". It matches the Rfam family "Bacterial small subunit ribosomal RNA", at positions 526 to 761 of the family's 1533-position model. The record is from RNAcentral.
GAGCGUUGGCGAGCGUUAAUGGGAAUUUACUGGGUGUAAAGCGUGCUCAGUUCGAUGUUUGUUAAGUCAGAUGUGAAAUCCCCGGGCUCAACCUGGGAACUGCAUUUGGAACUGGCGAACUAGAGCUUUGUAGAGGGGGGUAGAAUUCCAGGUGUAGCGGUGAAAUGCGUAGAUAUCUGGAGGAAUACCGAUGGCGAAGGCGGCCCCCUGGACAAAGACUGACGCUCAUGCACGAAAAGG